UUUCUAGGUUUCGUCGUAAACCUAAUUGGUUACUUCCAAUUACGUAAAUCAAUAGUUCAAACCGCACUCAAAGGUAGGGCAUUUCCCAUUGAUAUAGGAACUUUUGUACCAGAAACAAUAGUAUCUCCAA
Molecule: long non-coding RNA, 130 nt
Organism: Triticum dicoccoides
Lineage: Eukaryota; Viridiplantae; Streptophyta; Magnoliopsida; Poales; Poaceae
Exons: 3
Source: RefSeq, a predicted model, not a curated record